This is a long non-coding RNA of Pongo pygmaeus (Bornean orangutan), 4274 nucleotides long. RefSeq lists it as uncharacterized. Lineage: Eukaryota; Metazoa; Chordata; Mammalia; Primates; Hominidae. The record is from RefSeq and is a predicted model, not a curated record. The transcript is spliced from 2 exons.
CCCCAGCAACAGCAGGGCGGCGCCACAUUGGUCCUGCGACAGGCCUGGCCGCCGGUGACGGCGGGACUCUCUGGGAGGCCGGCGGUGCUCGAGUGUAGAGGGAGACAGCUGCCCGGGGGCACGGACAAGCGGCUUUGGGGGUCCCGGAUCCGAGACCCGCGGCUCCGGGGUGGCGGUGACGCCUGCAGUCGUGCGGGCGUGGCUGGACCGGGUUCUUGGGGCAGCGAGGCGCCGCUGCUGGCGUCUAGGCCACACCACCCUGAACGCGCUCGCUCGCCUCUGAUCUGUUGAAGCUAAGCAGGGUCCGCCUGGUUAGUAUUUGGAUGGGAUUCCGCCUGGUAAUAGCGGGUACCAUAGGCUUUUGGCAUCUCGCUCCCUCCCUCUUUCCCUCUUUUGUCUCCGUGCUUCCCAACCACCCCCCGCCUCUGCUCCCCCUUGACAGCCCCCGCGCCCCAGCUGAAGCCCAGGACCUCCUCCUGAAGAUCCGCCACUGCAGCACCGCCAGGCAGCAGCAUCCCACUUCUUCCGACCCGCAGCAGCCCAACCAGGAGCCUGGCUACAAGCCGGGCGGGACGGGACGAACGCCGAGGGCGCAGGCGCGGGUUCCCUGAGGUCCCCGGUGUCUUCAUGCUCCCCGGACUCCCAGGCUAUUCUAUUCAUUCAUCCAGCGACGCCGCAACCGUCCAAGCCAGCGGAAGGGGCGGUCAGGGGCAGCGGGUCCCACAGACCCCAGCCAAGACCUCUGCUCCAGAACCCAUGGGCUGCUUUCCCCAGGGGAAGGACAUUGUCUUCGCCAGCCACGAGGAAAUCCGUCCCUGUGCACCCGGUUUCCCAAUUCCACUGACUUCGUGUGAACUCCAGUCCUGAAGACAGGAGACAGACCCAGGCCUCGCCCCGUGGACAAGCUCAGCGCUUUGGCUCCCGCCAGACAAACGAGCACACUCUACAAAUCUCGGGGCCCACCGCACCAAACAGACAGAAAGAAGCAAACAAAGGAAGGACCUUAUGAAACGCACCCCCAAAGCAACCAACCAAUUCAAGAAAAAAAAAAAAACACAUCUCAGGGCUCCUUUUGUUUUCCCGGGUGGGGGGCCCUGACCCCCUGUUCUAGCCCAGCUCAAGCACCCUCCACCCCACCCCGGCCUGCUGAAGGGUGCCCUGUCUACCUGAGCAGAGCCUCCCUCUCCAAGGCUCUGUCGCUGUCGCUGUCGCUCCAUAACACCCUCACCCUCACCCUUUCUCUACUUCCCCCUCCACCUCGCGCUCUACUGUGGCUCUCUCUCUUCCCCCCUCUCUGUCUCUCCUCCCCCUUCUCUGUCUCUCUCUCUAUCGCUGUCUCUCUCUCUCCCUCUGGUUCUAUUUCUCCAUCCCUCUCUCCCUUGCCCUCCUUCUGUAGCAGGAGGAGCUGCAGACAAAACCCCUCAGACACCGAGUUGUAGAAGGAAGGGCUUUAUUCAGCUGGGAGCAUCGGCAGACUCACGUCUCCAAAAACCUAGCUCUCUGAGUGAGCAAUUCCUGUCCUUCUUAUGGGCUUACAACUCUAAGGAGGUCUGCGUGAGAGGGUCGUGAUGGAUUGAGGAAGCAGAGGGUACCUGACUGGGGGCUGCAUGCACCGACAACGAGAGUGAAACCACAGAGAAAAGAAAUAUCCCGUGCAUCACGGCCAGAUGAUGGAUUCCUGUUUCCUGCAAAAUGGGGAGUCUCCAAUAUAGCCUGUUUGAAAACUGGAAAGGAGAGCACCGACACGAUGCUGGUCUUCCACGCAUUCCGGGAAGUUUCUGGGGCCCCACAGAGCUCGGGUAACAAACAGUCAACAUGGUCAAGCUUUCGGGGGGCAGAAACUUGAGAAACAGGCACCUUUGCAGAGGGCAAAGAAAUGUGGAAUCCAGAAUCACGCUUCAGUUGACCUGAGUGUGACUCCUGUGUGGUUGGGACUAUCCGCCUUGCGCUGUGUUGCAGGGCUCAAAGUGGGGAUAUGUCAUCUGUGAACCAUGUGGAUGAAAAACAGACAACCACCUGAGUCUCGGCUCAUUGCUCUCUGGGGAAUUCGCUCAUUCCUUCGGAAAUGGAAUUGGUCUGAAUUGUUCCGGGAUGAAGUAACCCAGGCUGGAGAUCCAGAGGGCCGCUGAGCACCCCGCGGCCAAAGGGGCUGUGGGCCCAGCACUUAGACUGCACUGGGCACCCAACAUUUUCCCGGAGUGCUGGGUCCUGUUGGUUCUGGAGGCAGAAGACCGUUUUUCUCUCUGCCUUCCGUUCUCUGUUUCUUGCUCCUUUUGUCCCUUGGUCCAUCCUUCCCUGUGUUCUUCCUUCCCUCCUCCAGUUUUUUCCUCCCUUUUUCCCUCCCUCCCUCUUUCUCUCCCUUCCGGGGUCCCUCCUUCCACCCAUCAUUUCCUAGCUCCAUCCUUCCAUCUCACUCUGUCUCCGCUCCUGUCCUCAUCUCUGUCUGCCUUCCCUCUUGCCUGGAAAGGGCAGCACCCCGGUUUGCACGGGGUCUCGUGUCUACAUUUAGUUGCAAGGCGCUCCAUCGUGCUGGCAAGGAGGCUGGCGGGACAAGGGUUGGCAAGUUAUGGUUAGCGAAGUGGCAGAGGAGUCGAGCCGCAGAAAGGAGAACUGGCCUGGCUUCUGCCCCGGCCCAGUGUUUCGCGGACUAAGGUCUCCGCCAACCCGACUGAAGAACGCGGGGGAAAAAGGGAUGAGAGCUCCGCCUGGGCUAGUUAGAAAACCUAGGCUGCUGCCUGGAAACCCGCGCAUGCGCAGUAGACAGCCCACCUCACAGUACCUGGACCGGCCCUGGGAUCCCCGGGAUGCUCAGCAGUUCUUUCUUGUCAUUCCUGACAGCUUUCCUCUGUGUGGAGUCUCUCCUUGGACCUGGAACUCAGGGAUCUUAGGCAGGUCAGCUGGAAGGGAAGACACGACUCUCCACACCAAGCCUGAGGUUCACCGCAAAAGAGAGGCCGCCACUCUGCCCCCACCCCGCCCAAACCCCGCCCCAACCUGCUCCUCCAGCAGAGCCCUGUGUUCUUCCUGGCUGAGUAGUGGUUCCAGCAAAGCGGACUCUUCCAAGUCCUUCAGCUCCCCCAGUGGCGCCGGAUCUAGGAAAGGUUGUGCCUUUUGCUGAAACUCUGGGGUUGACAGGAGCUCAUCUAACAGGCUGGAGGUUAGUGCAGAUGAGCACACCGGCUCCUGGAGCUGUUGUGAGGUGCCUGGAUGGCUGGCAUCUGUGCUUGACCCGGAGGCCUCCGGGGUCGAGAGCUCCGGAGAUGGAGGUGCCUCGUCUUCCGGUUCCCAUGCCGCCCUGGCGACCUGGGGCUCCAGUCCCCCCACGGACUCCGGUGGGACGUGGGUGGCAGAAGCACACCUUGCCCCUGUGACUCAGCUUGAGGGAACCUAAGCUAUCCCACUGAGCACGCGCCCAGCAGGCCGUCACGCUGCGGGUUCUGGUCUUCGUGUCAUUUGUUGGGGUGUGGAGGCCACCAGGGAGUCUGAGGAUGGAAGAGCCCCAGUUCCGGAGGAGCCAGGGCAGCAAACACAAAGCCCUGCAUGCCCAGGCAGGUUGGAAGAGUCCUUCUGCCUGCGCAGCCUGGCUGGGCUGGAGCAGGGGGAUGUCCCUUGCUGCCUGGCUCACGAAAGCCCCCUGUGGGAGAGCCACAGGGAAGCAGGGCAUGUGGGGUGUGCUAAGCGCCGUUCCCCACGCCCCAGUGUGAGUGAACUCGAUAGAGGAGGCAGGAGGGUGACAAACACCGGGGUUGCUUAUUAGUAACCACAGUGGCCUCAAAGAACUCAAAUGAAAGGAAGACUUGCACAUCUCUCUCUUUAAGUCCAGAGGUAGAAAUGAUUAAGCUUAGUGAAAAUGUAGAAUUUUCAUAGCUAGAGAGAAGUCAAUGCUUGGCUUCAAAACUUCAAAGGAUGGGCUGACUCUCUUUGAGGACCACUGCAGCUGGUGACUUUAAGUUACAGCCAGUGCUCAUUGACCACUCUGAAAAUCUCAGGGCCCUUAAGAAUUAUGCAAAAUCUAUUCUUUCUGUGCUCUAGAAGUGGAACAUCACUGUCUGGGUGACAGCACAUCUGUUAAUAGCAUGGUUUACUGAAUAUUUUAAUCCCAUUAUUGAGACCUACUGCUCAGAAAAAAAAAAAAAAGAUUCCUUUAAAAAGAUUGUUGCUUGGCCAGGCGUAGAGGCUCACACUGGUAAUCCCUGAAUUUUGGGAGGCCAAGGAUCACCUGAGGUCAGGAGUUCAAGACCAGCCUGGCCAAAAUGAUGAAACCCCAUCUCUAA